Molecule: ribosomal RNA, 1322 nt
Filed under: unidentified marine bacterioplankton
Lineage: Bacteria
Also listed under: 1 other name
Description: bacterial SSU rRNA
Rfam family: Bacterial small subunit ribosomal RNA
Source: RNAcentral
AGAGUUUGAUCAUGGCUCAGAACGUACGCUGGCGGCACGCCUAACACAUGCAAGUCGAACGAAGUAGCAAUACUUAGUGGCAGACGGGUGAGUAACAUGUGGGUAUCUGCCCUUUGGCCUGGAAUAACACGAGGAAACUUGUGCUAAUACCGGAUAAGUCUUUACAGAGAAAGCUUUAUGCACCAUUGGAUGAGCCCGCACUUGAUUAGUUUGUUGGUGGGGUAAUGGCCUACCAAGACUUUGAUCAAUAGCUGAUUUGAGAGGAUGAUCAGCCACAUUGGGACUGAGACACGGCCCAAACUCCUACGGGAGGCAGCAGUGGGGAAUCUUGCACAAUGGAGGAAACUCUGAUGCAGCGAUGCCGCGUGAGUGAAGAAGGCCCUUGGGUUGUAAAGCUCUUUCGUCGGGGAAGAAAAUGACUGUACCCGAAUAAGAAGGUCCGGCUAACUUCGUGCCAGCAGCCGCGGUAAUACGAAGGGACCUAGCGUAGUUCGGAAUUACUGGGCUUAAAGAGUUCGUAGGUGGUUGAAAAAGUUGGUGGUGAAAUCCCAGAGCUUAACUCUGGAACUGCCAUCAAAACUUUUCAGCUAGAGUUUGAUAGAGGAAAGCAGAAUUUCUAGUGUAGAGGUGAAAUUCGUAGAUAUUAGAAAGAAUACCAAUUGCGAAGGCAGCUUUCUGGAUCAUUACUGACACUGAGGAACGAAAGCAUGGGUAGCGAAGAGGAUUAGAUACCCUCGUAGUCCAUGCCGUAAACGAUGUGUGUUAGACGUUGGAAAUUUAUUUUCAGUGUCGCAGCGAAAGCGAUAAACACACCGCCUGGGGAGUACGACCGCAAGGUUAAAACUCAAAUGAAUUGACGGGGACCCGCACAAGUAGUGGAGCAUGUGGUUUAAUUCGAAGAUACGCGCAGAACCUUACCAACACUUGACAUGUUCGUCGCAACUUUAAGAGAUUAAAGUUUUCGGUUCGGCCGGACGAAACACAGGUGCUGCAUGGCUGUCGUCAGCUCGUGUCGUGAGAUGUUGGGUUAAGUCCCGCAACGAGCGCAACCCUCACUUUUAGUUGCCAUCAUUAAGUUGGGCACUCUGAAAGAACUGCCAGUGAUAAGCUGGAGGAAGGUGGGGAUGACGUCAAGUCCUCAUGGCCCUUACGUGUUGGGCUACACACGUGCUACAAUGGUAUCUACAACAGGAAGCAAAACAGCGAUGUUAAGCAAAUCCUUAAAAGAUACCUCAGUUCGGAUUGCACUCUGCAACUCGAGUGCAUGAAGCUGGAAUUACUAGUAAUCGUGGAUCAGCGUGCCACGGUGAAUGCGUUCCCGG